RNAcentral lists this long non-coding RNA (1347 nucleotides) under Trifolium pratense (red clover). RNAcentral describes it as "long non-coding RNA (TPRA_LNC003227)". Lineage: Eukaryota; Viridiplantae; Streptophyta; Magnoliopsida; Fabales; Fabaceae. The record is from RNAcentral.
UGGGUAACACCUAAUUUUGCCGAAGAAAGGGCUGGGAGAUCGGAAAGGUUAGUAGUGUCUAGCAACCAUUUUGUGAUGGCUAUUUCUCCGAGCUGUGUAUGAUGUCAAUUGGCACAAUAACAGUACAUUGGAGAUUAGUGGCUUUAGUCUCUGAAGAAUGAUUCCUUUCAGGUCUUCAAUCAAGAAGGAUUUAUACUUUGUUUAUCUGAGCAACAUAUAUUGAUGGUGUUACCCCUUGCUAAAUAUGAUUUGUAUUAUGACUUGGGGAAUGUUGUAUAGUGUGUGAGAAUCUUCUCACCAAGAGAUAUAGGGAUUUUUUCGAGUGUGUGAUGAUACAAACAAACAAAAUAUAUAUUCCUUUGAACCUGUGAUCUAUGUUCUGUUUUUCUUCCUUCUCUUGGUCCUCCCUUUUUCAAUGCAAAUCAGUUGGUGUAUGUUUUAUUUGAAUACCUAUUACGAUUUUAUGACAUCACAACAUAAAAUGUAUUUUUAAAUAAAUAUCUCAUGCUAUGUGAUGAUACUUCUGUAGCAGGCAGAAGUGAAUUACAGAUUGACAUGUCUAAGUUAUACAUAUAUUUUUGAUUUGGAACAUAACCAUAAUUAACUCAAACUUGCUUAAAAACCAUUAUAUAUGCAUAUCAGUUAAGUCUCCACUUUGGUCCAAUUUAAUUUUCUGCACUAGUAUUGGCUCCGAGAUUUUUUCGAUACCUCUUGGAGCUGCAACCAAAAUAAUAAUCAACAUAUUUUUCAGCAAUUCUUGCACUCUAAUAUAAAACUAGUGAUGCAUAUCAAAGAUUACAAGAUAUUUAUAAUAGAAUAAUUGUAGCACGAGCAUAAUACUUAAUUACUGCACAGAACCAAAUACAACCCCGGCAUAUGUUAAGGUAACAAUUUAAAAUGACAACAAUUUGAUAUGGAGAGUUUAAACUUAAAGCAAGAAUUUGUUUAAAACUUCCUUAGAAGAACCUAGAGUUUAACCUUUCAUACCUAGCCCAAUUGCCUCGGAGCCUUUCAUGAUCCUUAAGUCUCCUACACGAGUCAGCGAACAUCCUGCCUCAAGCAACAAUUUAAGUAAGUCAGUUCAACCACUGGACUAUCAUGAUUUAACAUAAGCUUCAAUAUGAAAGUGUUUCGGAGAGCUUAUAGGAACAACUUAUGACAUGUCCAUAAGUUGUUUUCAGUUUAUUUUUCAUAAGUUCUUCAUGAUAACUUAUGAAAAUAGCUUAUAGCAUAUACGAACAAAGUUUAACUUAUUUUAUCUUUUGUUACAGAUAUAGCUUAAUACAUAAGCAAUUAUAUGAUACAUGAUUAUGCUAAAAGCGCUUAAUUAAGUUUGUUUAUCCAAAC